AAGUCGUAACAAGGUUUCCGUAGGUGAACCUGCGGAAGGAUCAUUAACACGUAUCCAACGUAAAAAACCCCCCUGUGAACAUUCAAACCUGCUCUCGUAGCCCAGUGCGAUCCAGCAAUCCCGGUAAAUCAUUGUCGAACAGCUUUUGAUUCGGGACUUCUGACAAAUGAGAAGUUACAGUUACGAUUGAGCGGAGAUAGCUGCAUGGCAUCCGAAGCAGUCAGUGUCUGAAAGCGUCAUUGAUUGUCUAAGGAUCUCGCCUCAACGAUUGCUAGAGGUCGCUCACCGACCGGCAGACAUGCAACCGGGUCCCCACGCCCCUUUACAACCCGAAUACCUCUGUGAGUCUAGGCGGACGCACUAGGCUAAAAAAACCUCGAACAACUGUUAACAAUGGAUAUCUUGGUUCUC
RNAcentral lists this unclassified non-coding RNA (411 nucleotides) under fungal sp. RNAcentral's name for it is "partial internal transcribed spacer region". The stretch from base 1 to 46 matches the Rfam family "Eukaryotic small subunit ribosomal RNA", at positions 1786 to 1831 of the family's 1831-position model. The record is from RNAcentral. Lineage: Eukaryota; Fungi.